GUUAAGCGACUAAGCGUACACGGUGGAUGCCCUGGCAGUCAGAGGCGAUGAAGGACGUGCUAAUCUGCGAUAAGCGUCGGUAAGGUGAUAUGAACCGUUAUAACCGGCGAUUUCCGAAUGGGGAAACCCAGUGUGUUUCGACACACUAUCAUUAACUGAAUCCAUAGGUUAAUGAGGCGAACCGGGGGAACUGAAACAUCUAAGUACCCCGAGGAAAAGAAAUCAACCGAGAUUCCCCCAGUAGCGGCGAGCGAACGGGGAGCAGCCCAGAGCCUGAAUCAGUGUGUGUGUUAGUGGAAGCGUCUGGAAAGGCGCGCGAUACAGGGUGACAGCCCCGUACACAAAAAUGCACAUGCUGUGAGCUCGAUGAGUAGGGCGGGACACGUGGUAUCCUGUCUGAAUAUGGGGGGACCAUCCUCCAAGGCUAAAUACUCCUGACUGACCGAUAGUGAACCAGUACCGUGAGGGAAAGGCGAAAAGAACCCCGGCGAGGGGAGUGAAAAAGAACCUGAAACCGUGUACGUACAAGCAGUGGGAGCACGCUUAGGCGUGUGACUGCGUACCUUUUGUAUAAUGGGUCAGCGACUUAUAUUCUGUAGCAAGGUUAACCGAAUAGGGGAGCCGAAGGGAAACCGAGUCUUAACUGGGCGUUAAGUUGCAGGGUAUAGACCCGAAACCCGGUGAUCUAGCCAUGGGCAGGUUGAAGGUUGGGUAACACUAACUGGAGGACCGAACCGACUAAUGUUGAAAAAUUAGCGGAUGACUUGUGGCUGGGGGUGAAAGGCCAAUCAAACCGGGAGAUAGCUGGUUCUCCCCG
This 817-nucleotide ribosomal RNA is filed under the name Escherichia coli. RNAcentral's name for it is "partial 23S ribosomal RNA". It matches the Rfam family "Bacterial large subunit ribosomal RNA", at positions 1 to 861 of the family's 2925-position model. Lineage: Bacteria; Pseudomonadati; Pseudomonadota; Gammaproteobacteria; Enterobacterales; Enterobacteriaceae. The record is from RNAcentral.